This 406-nucleotide ribosomal RNA is filed under the name uncultured bacterium. RNAcentral describes it as "partial 16S ribosomal RNA". It matches the Rfam family "Bacterial small subunit ribosomal RNA", at positions 30 to 526 of the family's 1533-position model. The record is from RNAcentral.
AUUGAACGCUGGCGGCAGGCUUAACACAUGCAAGUCGAACGAGCGGCGGACGGGUGAGUAAUGUCUGGGAAACUACCUGAUGAAGGGGGAUAACUACUGGAAACGGUAGCUAAUACCGCAUACCAUCAGAUGUGCCCAGAUGGGAUUAGCUAGUUGGUGGGGUAAAGGCUCACCAAGGCGACGAUCCCUAGCUGGUCUGAGAGGAUGACCCGCCACACUGGAACUGAGACACGGCCCAGACUCCUACGGGAGGCAGCAGUGGGGAAUUUUGGACAAUGGGCGCAAGCAUGAUGCAGCCAUGCCGCGUGUGUGAAGAAGGCCUUCGGGUUGUAAAGCACUUUCUGCGGGGAGGCGGUACUCGAAGAAUAAGCACCGGCUAACUACGUGCCAGCAGCCGCGGUAAUAC